AACUGAGACACGGUCCAGACUCUACGGGAGGCAGCAGUAGGGAAUAUUGCUCAAUGGGGGAAACCCUGAAGCAGCAACGCCGCGUGGAGGAUGAAGGUUUUAGGAUUGUAAACUCCUUUUGUUAGAGAAGAUAAUGACGGUAUCUAACGAAGAAGCACCGGCUAACUCCGUGCCAGCAGCUGUGGUAAUACGGAGGGUGCAAGCGUUACUCGGAAUCACUGGGCGUAAAGAGCGCGUAGGCGGGAUAGUCAGUCAGGUGUGAAAUCCUAUGGCUUAACCAUAGAACUGCAUUUGAAACUACUAUUCUAGAGUGU
RNAcentral lists this ribosomal RNA (314 nucleotides) under Helicobacter pylori. RNAcentral describes it as "bacterial SSU rRNA". It matches the Rfam family "Bacterial small subunit ribosomal RNA", at positions 317 to 649 of the family's 1533-position model. The record is from RNAcentral. Lineage: Bacteria; Pseudomonadati; Campylobacterota; Epsilonproteobacteria; Campylobacterales; Helicobacteraceae.